Molecule: long non-coding RNA, 746 nt
Organism: Miniopterus natalensis
Lineage: Eukaryota; Metazoa; Chordata; Mammalia; Chiroptera; Miniopteridae
Source: RefSeq, a predicted model, not a curated record
UUUUGGAAUUUUCCAUUUAAUAUUUUCAGACUAUGGUUGACUGCAGGUAAGUGGGUAAUAAAAAUAGUAACUGCUCACUCUUAUGUCUCUUUUACCCAUGAAACAGGUACCAAUACUCCCAUUUUAUAGAUUGGGAAGUGGAGGCAGAGAAGUGAAGAAACUUUCCCAUAGUCAAUGGAUUGCUGAUCUCUCCCCGGUGACAGGCGAGAACAAAACUGAACAAGGUACUGAAGGGCGUGUCGGUGAUGGUUUAUUAACUUCAUACCUGUGGACUAUAGUUACAAGAUUAUGACUGAACUAGAACUAGACAGGAGUGAAUGUCACCCAGAGAUUAUGGACUUGGAGCUGGAUGCAGGAACUGAUGAGACUUUGGGUCUUCCCUUCUGGGACGUGAGCACAUUUUCAUUUGUCUGCUUUUUAUUGCUUUACUUAAAAAAGGUCAUCACCUGCCACAUCGGCUGUCCUGUUGUUAAUGUCACUCUCUAGCUGUGACUUGUCUUUCCUAAUUUCUUUUAACUGCUUUAGAACAAACUAGUUAGCUAGAUUGUUAGUAAACUAGGUAACCAGGAUUAUUAGAGGAAGCAGGAGUAAGGAGGCUCUGUGUGAAGGUUUGAUGGAUUUUAUUUUGAAUAAAUUUCAUAACUUUUAGUAAGUAAUUAAUGUGACAUUGUAUUUGCUGCUCAAGAUUUUUUUUGCUUUCUCUUCAGUUUUAACCCAUACUUUGAAUAAAGUUGCUCAAAGAGUGA